Long non-coding RNA from Lathyrus oleraceus (garden pea), 479 nucleotides. RefSeq lists it as uncharacterized. The record is from RefSeq and is a predicted model, not a curated record. NCBI's taxonomy places the organism in Eukaryota, Viridiplantae, Streptophyta, Magnoliopsida, Fabales, Fabaceae. The transcript is spliced from 2 exons.
AUGCCCAGGAUGCACAACCUAGUGAGAUGGAAAAGAUUUAAGCAAAGUUCACUUCAGAUCAUUCACCAUAAACACGUCAUAUUCAAAGUCUCGCCUGAGAUGCUCUCCCCGCCGCGCCAGAAAUCGCGUAUGGCAGCGGCAAAGGGCCAUAACUAAUUUGGUAGGGUGACCUUGGCUUGCAAAAUGCAUCAUCAAAGCAUGGCACACAAAAUGGGCAUGUCAUGGAAGUAUGGCACCUAAAUAAGAAGAUGUUUGAAGUCCUUGAAGCAAAAUGAGGUGGCUUAUGAAUUAAGAAAUUAUGGAUACGGAUUAGAAAUAGUGGUUGACUUUGGUCAUCUGGUUGAUCAAAAAGUUAAUAGUUGACUAAAAAUCAACCUUAGGUCAAUUUUUGUUACGACCUUUUUCAGAAUGGUUUGAGUGAGUUUGGAUGGAAUUCAACGACAAAUAUGUGGAAUGUUGAAGAUGAAGUUUGAAGCAAA